GCCCCACGAUGCGCGUGCCGCUGAGCACAUGGAGGAGAGCGGACGCACACUUAGCAGCCUGGCUAAUGUAGCCUGUGGGUCGCAAAAUAUUGGCAAAUGAAGAACAUUUCAGAUCUGGAAAGUGGACUGACUUGCUUAAGGCGUCCCACAUGGAUGAGAGAAAAAUAUUGAGGAUGUGAGCAGUCCCUUCACCUUUAAAAGUUAUCUUCAAAAUGGAGCUUGUUCUUUUUCCUAAGUUUCAGUCUCCGAAUCCAGUUAUAGUAUCAGUCACCCUGCCAGUGAGGAAUACGGUGAAGAGGCCGUCCUGUGCGAUAAGAGACCUACACCGGACAGCAUGACCUUCAGAGGACUGGCUUGAACUUGGACUGUGUUUAGGCAGCAUGAACUAGAGAACAACCUCCUGCUGAAGCCAUGAGUCACACUGCCAUCAACCUCAUUUAAACCAUAGCGCUGAUGUUACUGGAUAUGUUAAAUAGGUCAGGUGCACCUCCAUGUGCCACAUACUGUUCACAAAAGACUGCAUCCAUGUGAAUUGGUGGUAAAUUGGUCUAAUGGUGGUAAAAGCUCAAGUCUUCAGGAGUCUUCAGAAAGGGGUCAACCAAGUAUUUUUGCAUAUAUGUAUACAUAUAUAUUGUCAUUAUUUUUAACAUUCAUAACAGGUCUCCAUGCUCCGUUUUUCUCUGUUUUCCUCUGUUUUGAAGGGUUUGUUUGAGCACAGUAUGCACCGUGUAACCCCAGAGUGAACCCAGUGUGUUGCAAUAAUAAAAUGAGUAUUAAUCUGUGAAUGCAUUUAAAAUCUAUGGAUAAUGUAAAGGUUAUAAUGCCCUUACGUUUUAAUGAUUAGGUGACUGUAGAUAUAUAGUGAGAUGGUUUAAGUGGGACUAGCCGUUACUCCUCUUGGGCUGAGGAUUUUCUCGUGGAUCUCUGGUAAAGCACAGGUUAAUGGAAUUGCUUCAGAUCUGGUUUUGGGGAUUGAGAAGCCUCUGUUUAGAUUAAUGUGAGCGCCAGGGAUGAUGGGAAAGCGGGAUGCAGCCAGUGCUCUCUAAUAACACUGUGAGGGGUGGGGGUCAACACAGGGCAUGCCCAAUCUGGCUAGACUGUUUCGUCAGUGGAUUCUCUCAUAAUCCUCUUUCUCUGACUGCCACCGUGACUAUGUGACCGCCUGUGUAACAGAAACCAUGAAUCUCAGACAGCAGGGCAGCUAAAGGGCUUUAUGAAUUGUAAACAAACUAGCAUGCAUUAUGAAUGAUUAAAUAAAUUAAAAUCGGCCUAGCAGGGUAGACGUUACCCAAAUUUAAAGAACAGUUCUCUAAAUAUUUCCACCCUCUUGUUUAAAUGUCAUGUGUUUCCUCUUUUACAGUGAAGAGGUUGUGUAUCAGUUAUCCGUACCCUCGGCUGGAGGAUUCAAAUUAGACUGAAUUCCUUUGUAAAGUGGUCUCUCACUUCUAUCAUGGGACAUGUUGUACUUUAUCGUUUCUGAGUGGUUCUGUCUCAGAGGGCAGCAGGCCAGGCACACGUGUACCAGCUCUCUGAAGAAGGCCAGUUCAGUGGAAACUAGCAAGCAAACACACUGAAAAGGACACACGCUCCCUCAAUGUCAGCAAAUAUUUGGUCACAACUUCAAAGGGAAGUGACAGUCGUUUGAAACUGGGGAUGACAUUGGGCCGCUAUUAGAGCAGUGUAGUGAAAGUGCGUCAGAGUGAGGGAGAGCAAGGAAAUCCCCUUCUGCCACGUGGGAUAUGAACAAAGACUCCAGUUUGCCUCAAACUUUCUCUUUUGCCUUGCUGCGCGAGAGGUCCCACCACGCUCGACUGCUGGCAUUUACACGCUUCAGUCCUCUCUCACCGCACACCUUCCCGUGGAGAUUGGCUCACUUUGUUUCCUCAAGAUGAAUGUCUUUUUGAACCUCUUUGAACUGCAGUUAUAUUAUAGGUUCCAGCUCUGUGGUGAUUCAUCGAAUGGGAACUACAGAGGAAUUUGCUGCAUCACAGAGCAAAUCUGUUCAGAUUCCUCAGAAACAUUUCUUUGACGUGACCAACAAGAGUAUAUGAAUGAUGUCUCUUAAGAAAGAUCUGUUUACUGGUUCUCAAUUACUUUAUCUUUCUGUCCAUCCAUCACCUUAAGUCUCACUUUCACAGUCUCUCCACCACUGUCUUUUCAUAUAGUGGUUUGUAUGAAUAAUAUAUGCCACAUUGUUUCGCCGUCAUUAAAGGUGACCUUGGUUAAUUAUUGAUUGGGUCAGAUGAUUACAGGUCCGACCUCUGUAUGUUCUUGUCUGCAUGUCAUCUCUGUUUUCAUGUUUAUGCUCUUCCUCUUAUUCCUGGAGACCCUCAUAUGAUGAAUUACUGUCUAUUGUUAUUGCUGGGGGAGUGUUGGCGCCUUUACAGAGACAUGAAAUGUAAAAUUACAAAUGUAACCAUGAAUGUCAAGACUAUUACUUUGUUUUAAUGAAAUAUGUAAGAGGUAAUGUAUAGUCAUUUGGUCAUUAUCACUAAAUAAACCCUGACGGUGAUCAGGUUGAGCCCCUGAAGGGGUUUAUUUUGUUACAGUGACCGGCUGACUCUAAAAUGUCCUGCCUAUUACCUUGCUACUUGUCAAAU
Sinocyclocheilus rhinocerous is the source of this 2600-nucleotide long non-coding RNA. RefSeq lists it as uncharacterized. NCBI's taxonomy places the organism in Eukaryota, Metazoa, Chordata, Actinopteri, Cypriniformes, Cyprinidae. The transcript has 5 exons. The record is from RefSeq and is a predicted model, not a curated record.